Molecule: long non-coding RNA, 1951 nt
Organism: Toxorhynchites rutilus septentrionalis
Lineage: Eukaryota; Metazoa; Arthropoda; Insecta; Diptera; Culicidae
Exons: 7
Source: RefSeq, a predicted model, not a curated record
CCGCACAUGGUUUUCUUUAGAAUGCGUCUGACCACGCCUAGAAAUUAUUAUAUGUAAAAUAGCUAGGUACAUAGAAAAUAAGACAAUUGAAUAAAACCAAAUGUGCGGCACUUGGGCCGCACAGUCGAGAAAGCUACACCAAACGUAGCAGUUAAUUAUCUCCAUCCGAAAGACUGAUGCAGUGACUUGUUUACAUGGCGACCUGUGACAUCGGACCGCAGUGAGGUCGUGAACGAGUGUGAAAGUGAAUUCUAAAAUGCAUUUUUUAGACCCUAGCGGUUACAUUCCGAAGAACGUAACGGUGAAACAGUUAAACUGUUGAAACAAUCGAGUGUAGUGUAGCACGAACAAGCAAGCUGCAGAAACAGAGUGAACGUUGAGUGAAAAAAAAAUUAUCGGUUUUUGUGCCUACACGGAAACACUCCCCCGUCCGAAGCACCUGAGUUGGUGUGGAUAUGCAACAAUUGCUAAUUGAGAAGAAAUAGAAGAAAAGUUAUAGUGAAAAAAAAAACAAGAUGGAUAACAUGACUCCAGCAAAUAUGACAAAUUAGUUAUCAAGUGUUACGAAGGAUUAAUUUUCCAACAUCGUGGAUUGCACGAGGAAUUAGAUGCUGGAUUAUAUGUGAGACACAUUACAUCUAGAAAGCUAAACAUGGAGAAACACACAGUUGAUGGAAAAAUCAAUUUGAUCACCGUGAAAUAGACCCGCCUGUGAUUUCGUGGUCAUCGUCCAUAACACACACAUCAUACACUACCAACACCGUGUGAAACAAUAUCACAACGGUAGAACGUUUGUUCGCACAUCAGCCUACAAAACCAGGCGCACUACAUCUCGUACAAUUUGGAUGCUGGAUUCACCUGCCAGACACCCCCCCCCCCCCCCACGGAGUCGAAUGCGAAAUCAGCAGCGAAAUCAGCAGCGAAAUCAGCAGCGAGGACAGCAACGAGGACAGCAACGAGGACAGCAGCGAGGACAGCAGCGAGGACGGCAGUGAAAUAAAGUGGACUUCUAAUAAAUCGCUUGAAAUACAGUCUCUAGAAAGAAUGCAGUGUUUCGAGAAUCCGUUCCGUAACCGCCGGAACCCUGUGGCACUAACGUCCCAGGGGAAACUUACAAUAGUGUCAGCAUGGGUUAUCCAGAUUAACACGCCUCAACUGUGUUCUGAAUGACAGAUUCAAAAAUUAUGCGUGCGUCUGUACAUAUCGGAAGCAAACCAAAAACUCCCUACUCUGAACGGGAUCGCUGGCUCUGCUAACCAGCAAACCAUGGGAUCACCCCAUUUAAAAAUAAAAUCCAAUUUGUUUCAUUUAUAAACACAUCACCCUACGAAACUAAUCAAUAACCAUACCAAUGCUGUAAAUUGAACCGUGUUAGAUUAGUAUAUAACCUGCACCACUUCCCACUGUUAGUUAUCGCUAGUGAAAAUGAAACUACUUCUUCUCGUGUUCCUAGUUUUGGUAACGGCCUGGCAAAUAAUGGCCAAGGCCAUUGAUAAUCGUCCAAGAGUCCAAGAAGAAUCGCAAAUCGUCCAUGCGAAAAUCUGCCCCGGUUGGAUUCAAUGUUGGCGAAUCAAGAAAAAUAAAAAUUGAUGUAAUUCAGUCCAAAAUUUUCAAAGAAAAACAUUAUACUUAAUAUAAAAAAAUUCAUCUCACCUCAGCACAAUGAAGUACAAAUAUUUGAAAUACCAUCAAUGAUCGUCCAAUAGGGGCAGAAAUGCUGGUAAGCUGACUCUGGUGAAACGAUCGCCCCAAAUGGAGGCAUGCAUGAUGAACCCAUUCUGCAGACAACAACAUUGGGAAGUAAAUAUCGCACCGUAUUUAGACAAAUCAGCAAGCGUUCAAUUCAGUUUAAUACAGUGUUUUUCAAUAUACCAUGCGAAGCUGUUACAUGUGGUGAUGAUAAAUGCGAAUGUGUUGAAAUUUUGGAAUAAAAACUUAAUAUUAUAAAGAA